RNAcentral lists this long non-coding RNA (1414 nucleotides) under Numida meleagris (helmeted guineafowl). RNAcentral's name for it is "lncRNA (ENSNMEG00000014936.1)". The record is from RNAcentral. Lineage: Eukaryota; Metazoa; Chordata; Aves; Galliformes; Numididae.
CUUCGGUCUCUGAUAAAAAUAUUGUGAGAGCAAUUCUCAAGACCAGUCUGUCAAAUAUAAGUCAAAGUGACCCUUUCAAUGAUGUUUUGUAAGUGUACUGGGAACCUAAACCCACUCCUGGUCUCUUUGGACAAAGCACAGAAACUAUAUUUAAACUGUAAAGGGAGAAGUUAGAAAAACAGCAUGAACAUAGACUCACCAGCAUAUUUACUCCAGAUUUAUACCAAGCACCUUUCUGUUUUUUCUUGUUGCAGCCAUUACACCAGGGGUCGUGCUGAGGCCAGUCUGCCAAGCACAGAGGUGCUGGGAAGGCAACAGCAGUCUGACAUUGCCAAACCCCUCCAUGUGUGCUGGUGGUCAAGCACAGGAACAGCAAGGAUCUUCAAUGCUGACAUUCACAAAACCUCAAAUUGAUUUCAAAAGUGAUUUUAGCCCCACUUCUGUUGUAGAAAGCAUUAAAAAAAAAUGUGUUCAUGGAGGUGCAUGAAGAUCCACUGCACAGGAAUGUAAGUCAGUGCUCACUUGUGAAAUCUCACUAAAUAACACUUGAGGAUUUUUUUUUUUUAAUUCAUGAGAAUAUCUGCGAAGUCCUUUUUGUUUCUCAUUUUGCUUACCCACUGCACUGUUCAUUACUGAGCAGUUUUCGCCUGUGAGUAGUGAAAAACAGAAACAAGGGCAGGUGAAGUUGGUUUUGUUGUCUUCUUCCCUCUUGUUUUUUUCUUUUUUACCUGAGAGGGAUUGGGUUUUGAUCAUAAGCUUAAAGAGUUACUACAUACAGUGAGUCUAAAAUCAGUAUAAGUUCUAUAUCCCAGCCAAUGGGUUGUGCAGGCACAUACCAUAUACAUAUACACCCAUGUACACCAUGUACCCCAGGUUUAAUGCAUCAUUACAGAUCAUCCACUCUGCCAAACUGACAAAAGCUUAAUAAUCAAGAACCAUGAAACAUCUAGGCUCUUGCCUGCAUGCCAAAGGAAGCAAAUUAACUGCUCAUGUGGUUACAGUUUAUUCACAUGGCUCUCCUUGAAACCAAAUAUAACACCUCACCUUUGAGUCUCUAAUUCUACAGGCUCCUGCAAGUCCCUGAAGGACUGCCUGAUUUCACCACAAGGAGCAGUUCCAUUCAGUGACUGACACAGAGCUGAUAAUGACAGAAAAGCAAACAAAUGUGCACUUGAUUAAGACUUUAAAGUUGAUAUUUCUGAAACAGAGGUAUUCAACAGAUUUAUUUAGACCUGAUGAUAACUUGGACUUUAUUUCAAUGAUUAUCCAUUUUUUAGUUUCUUCAUUGCAACAGUGGCUCCAUAGCUAUUAACAGCAAGCCUAGCAAAAAAAUUAUCAUUAAUUAGAAAGUUCUUUUAGAAGUCAGUUGCAUAUUUGAUUAGAAAUAAGUCAGUUAAAGUCAUAGUGCACACAC